CUGCGAAUGGCUCAUUAAAACAGUUAUAGAUUAUUUGAUAAUCGAAUUUUACAUGGAUAACCGUGGUAAUUCUAGAGCUAAUACAUGCUGUUAAGCCUGACUUUUUGGGAGGGCUGUAUUUAUUAGAUACAAACCAAUAUUCCUUCGGGUCUAUUGUGAUGAUUCAAUAUAACUGAUCGAAUCGCAUGGUCUUGCACCGCGAUAAAUCAUUCAAGUUUCUGCCCCAUCAGCUUUCGAUGGUAGUGUAUUGGACUACCAUGGCUUUCACGGGUAACGGAGGAUUAGGGUUCGAUUCCGGAGAGGGAGCCUGAGAAACGGCUACCACAUCUAAGGAAGGCAGCAGGCGCGUAAAUUACCCAAUCCUGACUCAGGGAGGUAGUGACAAGAAAUAACAGACCGGAGCCUAUGGUUCCGGGAUUGCAAUGAGUACAAUUUAGACUCCUUAACAAGUAACAAUUGGAGGGCAAGUCUGGUGCCAGCAGCCGCGGUAAUUCCAGCUCCAAUAGCGUAUAUUAAAGUUGUUGCAGUUAAAAAGCUCGUAGUUGGAUUUCUGUGAGAGUGCCGGUGUCGGCUGAUGCUUGUACGCAGGCGCUCUUACAUCCUUCUGUUAACUGUUCUUGGCAUUUUAUUGCUGGUUCAGGGCUCAGAUAUUUUACCUUGAGAAAAUUAGAGUGUUUCAGGCAGGCUUAUGCCGGAAUACAUUAGCAUGGAAUAAUGGAACAGGACCUGUGCGUCUCUCGGGGCGCCGGUCUCCGUUGUUGGUUUCGGGGACUAAUGUAAUGAUUAAUAGGGAU
Molecule: ribosomal RNA, 794 nt
Filed under: uncultured eukaryote
Lineage: Eukaryota
Description: SSU rRNA
Rfam family: Eukaryotic small subunit ribosomal RNA
Source: RNAcentral